AAAGUAACUCCUGAUUAUCAUAAAUCACCUCACCACUUUAGAGCAAUUCAAAUGAGGUACAGCCCAUUUGAUAUAGGAUACAACCUUAACUAACGGGUAACAUUAAAUCUACACCUCCAAGUAGGCCUAAGAGCAGCCACCCUUUAAAAAAGCGUCAAAGCUUAAUCAUGUUCACAUCAAUUUUUAAUCUUCAAUUGACCCCUUUUACCUUACUGAGAAUUUCUAUAUCAUAUAGAAUAUUUUAUGCUAAAACUAGUAACAAGAGUAAACCCUCUCCCAAUGCAAACACAAGCCAGCAAGAACCCAUCACUGGCAAUUAACAGACUUAAACAAAAGUAGCAACAUCUCUAGAAAACCCUACUCAUCCCAACUGUUAACCUUAUACCAGAGCAUUUCAGGAAAGAUUAAAAGAAAAAGAAGGAACUCGGCAAACACUAAUCCCGCCUGUUUACCAAAAACAUCGCCUCUUGCCCCCAUAAGAGGUCAAGCCUGCCCAGUGACUUUGUUCAACGGCCGCGGUAUCCUAACCGUGCAAAGGUAGCGUAAUCACUUGUUUUCUAAAUAAAGACCAGUAUGAAAGGCAUCACGAGGAUUAAACUGUCUCCUUUUUCCAAUCAGUGAAACUAAUCUCCCCGUGAAGAAGCGGGGAUUAUCCUAUA
Molecule: ribosomal RNA, 659 nt
Filed under: Pristimantis tinguichaca
Lineage: Eukaryota; Metazoa; Chordata; Amphibia; Anura; Strabomantidae
Description: partial 16S ribosomal RNA
Rfam family: Archaeal large subunit ribosomal RNA (bases 402-648)
Source: RNAcentral